UUGCCUUACCAUAUUAUGUGUACGUGCAUGGCAUGAUAUGGCAUGAUUGGGUCAAAUAAUUUUGCAAGCGCAUGUGGUCAUGCACCUAUCAUCCCUAAAGUUUGACUAGAUAUGUAACAAUUGGAUUUUGGUAAAUGCAAGUAUUUAAAUAGUCAAUUCGAGACUAUUAAGAAAGAGUUUAUAAAAUUUAAAUCUUUUUCAAAAAAGAGUAAUUAAAAUUUUCAUAUAAAGUUUGAUUUUCUUAAAAAAUUAAAAUCUCUAAUAAUAUUUUAUAACAACAAAAAUAAAGAAUCACUACCACCAAUAAAAAUAAAAAUAAAAAUAAAAAUAAAGAAGCACUACCACCACCGUCGAGUUUGACUUCUCUAAAGUCAUCGUCUGACAUGUACACAUGGAAUCCUCGACCUGAGCGACAUCCGUU
This 421-nucleotide long non-coding RNA is filed under the name Phoenix dactylifera (date palm). RNAcentral describes it as "long non-coding RNA (PDAC_LNC001480)". Lineage: Eukaryota; Viridiplantae; Streptophyta; Magnoliopsida; Arecales; Arecaceae. The record is from RNAcentral.